AGUGUAGUUCAGUUUGGUUAGAACACUAGUUUCGGGAACUAGAGGUCGUAGGUUCAAAUCCUAUUACU
Molecule: transfer RNA, 68 nt
Filed under: chicken gut metagenome
Rfam family: tRNA
About the family: Transfer RNA (tRNA) molecules are approximately 80 nucleotides in length. Their secondary structure includes four short double-helical elements and three loops (D, anti-codon, and T loops). Further hydrogen bonds mediate the characteristic L-shaped molecular structure. tRNAs have two regions of fundamental functional importance: the anti-codon, which is responsible for specific mRNA codon recognition, and the 3' end, to which the tRNAs corresponding amino acid is attached (by aminoacyl-tRNA synthetases). tRNAs cope with the degeneracy of the genetic code in two manners: having more than one tRNA (with a specific anti-codon) for a particular amino acid; and 'wobble' base-pairing, i.e. permitting non-standard base-pairing at the 3rd anti-codon position.
Source: RNAcentral